Molecule: ribosomal RNA, 253 nt
Filed under: uncultured bacterium
Lineage: Bacteria
Description: partial 16S ribosomal RNA
Rfam family: Bacterial small subunit ribosomal RNA
Source: RNAcentral
UACGUAGGGACCAAGCGUUGUUCGGAUUUACUGGGCGUAAAGGGCUCGUAGGUGGUCAACUAAGUCGGACGUGAAAUCCCUCGGCUUAACCGGGGAACUGCGUCCGAUACUGGAUGACUUGAGUUCGGGAGAGGGAUGCGGAAUUCCAGGUGUAGCGGUGAAAUGCGUAGAUAUCUGGAGGAACACCGGUGGCGAAGGCGGCAUCCUGGACCGACACUGACGCUGAGGAGCGAAAGCCAGGGGAGCAAACGGG